Molecule: ribosomal RNA, 253 nt
Filed under: uncultured bacterium
Lineage: Bacteria
Description: partial 16S ribosomal RNA
Rfam family: Bacterial small subunit ribosomal RNA
Source: RNAcentral
UACGGAGGAUGCGAGCGUUAUCCGGAUUCAUUGGGUUUAAAGGGUGCGUAGGCGGUUUUUUAAGUCAGUGGUGAAAUCCUGCGGCUCAACCGUAGAACUGCCAUUGAAACUGAAGAACUUGAAUAUAGUUGAGGUAGGCGGAAUGUGCAGUGUAGCGGUGAAAUGCUUAGAUAUUGCACAGAACACCGAUUGCGAAGGCAGCUUACCAAGCUAUUAUUGACGCUGAGGCACGAAAGCGUGGGGAUCGAACAGG